This 230-nucleotide ribosomal RNA is filed under the name Vibrio vulnificus. RNAcentral's name for it is "partial 23S ribosomal RNA". It matches the Rfam family "Bacterial large subunit ribosomal RNA", at positions 1292 to 1526 of the family's 2925-position model. Lineage: Bacteria; Pseudomonadati; Pseudomonadota; Gammaproteobacteria; Vibrionales; Vibrionaceae. The record is from RNAcentral.
GAAUGCUGACAUGAGUAACGACAAGGGGGGUGAAAAACCUCCCCGCCGGAAGACCAAGGGUUCCUGUCCAACGUUAAUCGGGGCAGGGUAAGUCGACCCCUAAGGCGAGGCUGAAAAGCGUAGUCGAUGGGAAACGGGUUAAUAUUCCCGUACUUCUUACAAUUGCGAUGGGGGGACGGAGAAGGCUAGGUGGGCCUGGCGACGGUUGUCCAGGUUCAAGUGCGUAGGCU